This is a small nucleolar RNA of Bison bison bison, 134 nucleotides long. NCBI's taxonomy places the organism in Eukaryota, Metazoa, Chordata, Mammalia, Artiodactyla, Bovidae. The record is from Ensembl.
UUCCACAGCUACUGGUCUGCAGCUGUUCUUAAAGGUAGCAGCUGUGGCAUUCCACUGUGGGAAAGAAACUGUCACACAACUCAACACCUCUUUCUCAGCACAACAGAAAGUGGGCAUGUGUGUGACAAACACAA